This 254-nucleotide ribosomal RNA is filed under the name uncultured bacterium. RNAcentral describes it as "partial 16S ribosomal RNA". It matches the Rfam family "Bacterial small subunit ribosomal RNA", at positions 524 to 776 of the family's 1533-position model. The record is from RNAcentral.
UACGGGGGGAGCAAGCGUUGUUCGGAUUUACUGGGCGUAAAGGGCGCGUAGGCGGCUCGUGACAAGUCACUUGUGAAAUCUCCGGGCUUAACUCGGAACGGUCAAGUGAUACUGUGGACUAGAGUACAGAAGGGGCAACUGGAAUUCUCGGUGUAGCGGUGAAAUGCGUAGAUAUCGGGAGGAACACCUAUGGCGAAGGCAGCUCGCUGGGACGUUACUGACGCUGAGACGCGAAAGCGUGGGGAGCAAACAGG